AAGGUGGAGGAGAAGCUCAAUAGGCUUGUCAAGGAAAGAGAGAUCAUUGGUCCAAACAUGAUUAGUGCAACAGACAGGAAAGAGAUAAAAGAGAGGCCUGAGACUAGUUCAAUAAUCGAUGACUCCAGUGUGUUUGGAAGAGAAGAAGAUAAGGAGACCAUUGUGAAGAUGUUGCUUGAUCAAAAUAACUCUAACCAUGCCAACCUUUCUAUUCUUCCCAUAGUGGGUAUGGGCGGACUAGGGAAGACGACUCUAACACAGCUUGUCUACAAUGAUACAAGAAUAAAAGAGCAUUUCCAGUUAAGGGUCUGGCUGUGUGUUUCUGAAAAUUUUGAUCAGAUGAAGCUUACCAAGGAAACCAUUGAAUCAGUUGCCAGCGAGUGUGAAUCAGCCAUCAGUGGGGUCUCAUCGGUCACGACCAACAUGAACUUGCUCCAAGAAGACCUCUCGAAAAAGCUAAAAGGUAAAAGGUUUCUUCUAGUACUUGAUGAUGUAUGGAACGAGGACUCUGAAAAGUGGGGCAGCUUACUAUGUUCCCAGGAUACUGAAGAUGACUGGAAAAAUGUGUUAAGGAGUGAAAUAUGGGAACUGCCAUCAGAUAAGAACAAUAUAUUGCCAGCACUG
Molecule: ribosomal RNA, 624 nt
Filed under: Triticum aestivum (bread wheat)
Lineage: Eukaryota; Viridiplantae; Streptophyta; Magnoliopsida; Poales; Poaceae
Description: partial small subunit ribosomal RNA
Source: RNAcentral